Molecule: microRNA precursor, 314 nt
Filed under: Olea europaea subsp. europaea
Lineage: Eukaryota; Viridiplantae; Streptophyta; Magnoliopsida; Lamiales; Oleaceae
Source: RNAcentral
CAACUUUUUGGCAACUUCCGUCAACCAAGACCGCAGAAUUUUGGUACCAUUGGAAUUCCCACAAUCUCCUCUUCAAUUUCUAUCGAAAAUCUCCCCAUAAAUCCAAAGGAUUUGGCCGGAAUAAACCCACAAAUUUGGCAUCCUGGAUCUGCCCAGAUUUAUACCUUUUUGGGAUGCCAACUUUGUGAGUUUAUUCCGACCGAAUCCUUUGGAUUUUUGGGGAGAUUUUGGAUGCUAAUUAAAGAGAACAUUGUGGGCUUUCCAACAGUAUCAAAAUUUGGCUAUUUUGGUAGUCGGAAGUUGUCAAAAAAUUG